GAUGGUGAAGAGAGGUGUGAGAGAGAUCCCGUGAAAGAGCUUUAGGGUUAAGGGUAUUGUUUUGUGAUUUUGAAGAUAGAUCGAGGGUGUUCUUGUCUUUUGCACUUUUUUUUUUAUCACAGGUUUUUGGUCGCAACGCUGAAUUUUUUGGCGAUCAAAAUUUUUAAACGUGGAUCGCUAGCGUCUAGUUGCAGCGAUCGAUCGCAGAACCAGCGACAGGAAAACGAACAACGUUUAGACGCUGGAACUAAACGAACAAGGCCUACAUAUACAUCAUUUUCAUACAAACAAACAUCGUGUCAAAUGUCAAUAAUAAUAUACAACAAAUCAGAUAUUUAGGCAGAUUGCAACUCUGAAGUUGACAUUCACCACAAGGCCCAAACUACUCCACGUCA
RNAcentral lists this long non-coding RNA (395 nucleotides) under Brassica napus (rape). RNAcentral describes it as "long non-coding RNA (BNAP_LNC010626)". Lineage: Eukaryota; Viridiplantae; Streptophyta; Magnoliopsida; Brassicales; Brassicaceae. The record is from RNAcentral.